AGAGUUUGAUCAUGGCUCAGGAUGAACGCUGGCGGCGUGCCUAAAACAUGCAAGUCGAACGGGGUCUUCGGACCUAGUGGCGAACGGCGGAGUAAUACAUGAGCAACGUGCCUAUAAGACCGGGACAAACGCAGAAAUGCCAUAAAUACCGGAUGUGGUGAUGAGGGGGCAUCCCUUUAUCAUUAAACAGUUUUUUGCUUAUAGAGCGGCUCAUGACACAUCAGCUAGUUGGUGGGGUAAUGGCCUACCAAGGCGACGACGUGUAGGGGGUCUGAGGGGAUGAUCCCCCCGAGUGGGACUGAGACACGGCCCACACACCUACGGGUGGCAGCAGUUGGGGAUCUUGCACAAUGGGGGAAACCCUGAUGCAGCGACGCCGCGUGGAGGAUGACGGCCUUAGGGUUGUAAACUCCUUUUUCAGGGAAAGACUUAGGACGGUACCCUGAGAAUAAGCUCCGGCUAACUACGUGCCAGCAGCCGCGGUAAGACGUAGGGAGCAAGCGUUAUCCGGAUUUACUGGGCGUAAAGCGCACGUAGGCGGCCUAUUAAGUGAAUGGUGAAAUCUCCAGCGCUCAACGCGGAAAUUGCCACUCAUACUGGUAGGCUAGAGGAAUGCAGAGGUAAUUGGAAUUCCCGGUGUAGCGGUGACAUGCAUAUAUAUCGGGAGGAACACCAACAGCGAAGGCAGAUUACUGGGCAUUUCCUGACGCUGAGGUGCGAAAGCGUGGGUAGCAAACAGAAUUAGAUACUCUGGUAGUCCACGCCCUAAACGAU
Molecule: ribosomal RNA, 774 nt
Filed under: uncultured bacterium
Lineage: Bacteria
Description: bacterial SSU rRNA
Rfam family: Bacterial small subunit ribosomal RNA
Source: RNAcentral